UCUCUCCCAAUGAAGGCUCGAGAGUUUGUCCCAACACGAUCCAUAAAUGAAAGGCGACUGCAUAGACUGUAUUCUAUAACGUCUCACAAGUGGUUUGCUGGGGCCGGCCGGACUGGGAUGAGUUUUCGGCUCAGAAGACCUAUAGGUUUGGUGUUGGACGAGCCUCGGGAUACAGAACGUUUGUAUCGGAGGAAGCGGCUCCCAACACCCUGGUUGCCACCGUACAUGGCUUUGAUCCAGAUGGAGAUCAUGUGACUUACAACAUUUUGGAAGGAAAUAGAGAAGGAAACUUUAUUAUUGACUCCGAGAAAGGAAUAAUCCGUCUUGGUUCUAACCUGCUUCCAAAGCAUCAUGGAGCCGAGUAUGUUCUGUAUGUGACCGCCACAGAUGACAACGCUUCGGGGGGUCCUCACAGCCUCACCAGCACGACUACGGUCGUCGUGAGAGUCGAUGACGUCAACCAGAACAAGCCUGUCUUCCAUCAGUGUGCCCAGUACCGUCACCACGCCGUAGUCCUGGCGAAGCAGCCCCCAGGAACGUUUGUGCUGCAGGUGGAGGCGAAAGACGCAGACGUUGGCGUCAACGGUCAAGUGAAGUACGGGAUCGUUCAUCGCGAGGGCUCUCUUCCUGCAUUCAGCAUC
This is a long non-coding RNA of Spea bombifrons (plains spadefoot toad), 641 nucleotides long. RefSeq lists it as uncharacterized. The record is from RefSeq and is a predicted model, not a curated record. The transcript has 4 exons. Lineage: Eukaryota; Metazoa; Chordata; Amphibia; Anura; Pelobatidae.